RNAcentral lists this transfer RNA (71 nucleotides) under Caldisalinibacter kiritimatiensis. It matches the Rfam family "tRNA". From Rfam's summary of the family: Transfer RNA (tRNA) molecules are approximately 80 nucleotides in length. Their secondary structure includes four short double-helical elements and three loops (D, anti-codon, and T loops). Further hydrogen bonds mediate the characteristic L-shaped molecular structure. tRNAs have two regions of fundamental functional importance: the anti-codon, which is responsible for specific mRNA codon recognition, and the 3' end, to which the tRNAs corresponding amino acid is attached (by aminoacyl-tRNA synthetases). tRNAs cope with the degeneracy of the genetic code in two manners: having more than one tRNA (with a specific anti-codon) for a particular amino acid; and 'wobble' base-pairing, i.e. permitting non-standard base-pairing at the 3rd anti-codon position. The record is from Rfam by way of RNAcentral. RNAcentral also lists the same sequence under 4 other names. Lineage: Bacteria; Bacillati; Bacillota; Tissierellia; Tissierellales; Thermohalobacteraceae.
GGCGGCAUAGCCAAGUGGUAAGGCCGAGGACUGCAAAUCCUUUAUCCCCAGUUCGAAUCUGGGUGCCGCCU